RNAcentral lists this ribosomal RNA (301 nucleotides) under uncultured bacterium. RNAcentral describes it as "partial 16S ribosomal RNA". It matches the Rfam family "Bacterial small subunit ribosomal RNA", at positions 512 to 808 of the family's 1533-position model. The record is from RNAcentral.
CAGCCGCCGGGGAAUACAGAGGGUGCAAGCGUUAAUCGGAAUUACUGGGCGUAAAGCGCGCGUAGGUGGUUUGUUAAGUUGGAUGUGAAAGCCCCGGGCUCAACCUGGGAACUGCAUCCAAAACUGGCAAGCUAGAGUACGGUAGAGGGUGGUGGAAUUUCCUGUGUAGCGGUGAAAUGCGUAGAUAUAGGAAGGAACACCAGUGGCGAAGGCGACCACCUGGACUGAUACUGACACUGAGGUGCGAAAGCGUGGGGAGCAAACAGGAUUAGAUACCCCCGUAGUCCCUGUCUCUUAUACA